This 254-nucleotide ribosomal RNA is filed under the name uncultured bacterium. RNAcentral describes it as "partial 16S ribosomal RNA". It matches the Rfam family "Bacterial small subunit ribosomal RNA", at positions 524 to 776 of the family's 1533-position model. The record is from RNAcentral.
UACGUAGGGGGCAAGCGUUGUCCGGAAUCAUUGGGCGUAAAGCGCGUGUAGGCGGCCUAGUAAGUCCGUUCUGAAAGCCCGGGGCUCAACCCCGGACUUGCAGUGGGUACGGGCAGACUAGAGUGUGGUAGGGGAGACUGGAAUUCCUGGUGUAGCGGUGAAAUGCGCAGAUAUCAGGAGGAACACCGAUGGCGAAGGCAGGUCUCUGGGCCACUACUGACGCUGGAGGCACGAAAGCGUGGGGAGCAAACAGG